ACACAGGGGGAUAACAGUUAGAAAUGACUGCUAAUACCGCAUAAGCGCACAGUCUCGCAUGGGACAGUGUGAAAAACUGAGGUGGUGUGAGAUGGAUCCGCGUCUGAUUAGGCAGUUGGCGGGGUAACGGCCCACCAAACCAACGAUCAGUAGCCGGCCUGAGAGGGUGAACGGCCACAUUGGGACUGAGACACGGCCCAAACUCCUACGGGAGGCAGCAGUGGGGGAUAUUGGACAAUGGGGGGAACCCUGAUCCAGCGACGCCGCGUGAGUGAAGAAGUAUUUCGGUAUGUAAAGCUCUGUCAGCAGGGAAGAAAGAAAUGACGGUACCUGACUAAGAAGCCCCGGCUAACUACGUGCCAGCAGCCGCGGUAAUACGUAGGGGGCAAGCGUUAUCCGGAUUUACUGGGUGUAAAGGGAGCGUAGACGGUUAAGUAAGUCUGGAGUGAAAGGCCGGGGCCCAACCCCGGGACUGCUCUGGAAACUAUUCAACUUGAGUGCAGGAGAGGUAAGCGGAAUUCCUAGUGUAGCGGUGAAAUGCGUAGAUAUUAGGAGGAACACCAGUGGCGAAGGCGGCCUGCUGGACUGCAACUGACGUUGAGGCCCGAAAGCGUGGGGAGCAAACAGGAUUAGAUACCCUGGUAGUCCACGCCGUAAACGAUGAUUACUAGGUGU
RNAcentral lists this ribosomal RNA (675 nucleotides) under uncultured bacterium. RNAcentral describes it as "bacterial SSU rRNA". It matches the Rfam family "Bacterial small subunit ribosomal RNA", at positions 133 to 823 of the family's 1533-position model. The record is from RNAcentral.